RNAcentral lists this ribosomal RNA (374 nucleotides) under uncultured organism. RNAcentral describes it as "partial 16S ribosomal RNA". It matches the Rfam family "Bacterial small subunit ribosomal RNA", at positions 527 to 897 of the family's 1533-position model. The record is from RNAcentral.
GUAGGUGGCAAGCGUUGUCCGGAAUUAUUGGGCGUAAAGCGCGCGCAGGCGGUCCUUUAAGUCUGAUGUGAAAGCCCACGGGCUCAACCGUGGAGGGUCAUUGGAAACUGGGGGACUUGAGUACAGAAGAGGAAAGCGGAAUUCCAAGUGUAGCGGUGAAAUGCGUAGAGAUUUGGAGGAACACCAGUGGCGAAGGCGGCUUUCUGGUCUGUAACUGACGCUGAGGCGCGAAAGCGUGGGGAGCAAACAGGAUUAGAUACCCUGGUAGUCCACGCCGUAAACGAUGAGUGCUAAGCGUUAGGGGGUUUCCGCCCCUUAGUGCUGCAGCUAACGCAUUAAGCACUCCGCCUGGGGAGUACGGCCGCAAAGGCUGA